RNAcentral lists this ribosomal RNA (482 nucleotides) under uncultured bacterium. RNAcentral's name for it is "partial 16S ribosomal RNA". It matches the Rfam family "Bacterial small subunit ribosomal RNA", at positions 28 to 523 of the family's 1533-position model. The record is from RNAcentral.
GACGAACGCUGGCGGCGAGCUUAACACAUGCAAGUCGAACGGUGAAGUAGAGCUUGCUCUAUGGAUCAGUGGCGAACGGGUGAGUAACACGUGGGCAACCUGCCCCAGACUCUGGGAUAACUCCUCGAAAGAGGGGCUAAUACCGGAUAUUUGCAUUGCAAGACAUCUUGUGAUGCAGAAAGAAUUUCGGUCUGGGAUGGGCCCGCGGCCUAUCAGCUUGUUGGUGAGGUAACGGCUCACCAAGGCGACGCCGGGUAGCCGGCCUGAAAGGGCGACCGGCCACGCUGGGACUGAGACACGGCCCAGACUCCGACGGGAGGCAGCAGUGGGGAAUAUUGGGCAAUGGGCGCAAGCCUGACCCAGAAACGCCGCGUGAGGGAUGAAGGUCCUCGGAUUGUAAACCUCUUUCAGCAGGGACGAAGCGAAAGUGACGGUACCUGCAGAAGAAGCACCGGCUAACUACGUGCCAGCCGCCGCCGUAA